This 433-nucleotide small RNA is filed under the name Arabidopsis thaliana (thale cress). RNAcentral describes it as "ATSL129310". The record is from RNAcentral. Lineage: Eukaryota; Viridiplantae; Streptophyta; Magnoliopsida; Brassicales; Brassicaceae.
UAUUUAAUCUUAUUUAAUUACUACAAAAUUAUCAUUUUUGAUAUUGUUUUUCUACAUGACUAUAAUAAUUCGAUUAUAAUCAUCAAACCGCAGAGAUAUUUGAUAGCAUUUAAUUAUUACAAAAUUAAAAAAUAUUUAGACAAUGAUUCAUAAACAUAUCAUAAAUAAAAUCAGUGAGUUUUUUUUACAGGACGGAUUGACGGGACGAGUUUGACAGGACGUUACUUAAUAACAAUCGUAAACUAUAAAAUAAAAAUAUUUUAUAGAUAAAUAUAAUUUGCAAACUUUUAUAUAUAGUAACUUUAAAAAAUAAAUUGUCUUCGCGGUAUACCGCGGGUUAAAAUCUAGUAAGACCUAAUAGAGUACCAAGGCUAGAACAAUUAAUACGAGUAUCGCGUAUGAAAAAGAAUAUACAUGUAUUCUGAUAACUAUA